CCCGCCACUGCACCUGACCACUUCCCCGUUGGCUGGUGCAAUCCAGUGGUGAGCUGACAGUGACCCCAGCUAAGGAAACAGGGCUGUUCUUGGUGUGGGCGGCCCUGUGCCGAGAGCAUGGGCACAGCC
Molecule: small nucleolar RNA, 129 nt
Organism: Cavia porcellus (domestic guinea pig)
Lineage: Eukaryota; Metazoa; Chordata; Mammalia; Rodentia; Caviidae
Product: small nucleolar RNA SNORA65
Exons: 1
Source: RefSeq, a predicted model, not a curated record